This 773-nucleotide ribosomal RNA is filed under the name Geotrichum candidum. RNAcentral's name for it is "eukaryotic LSU rRNA". It matches the Rfam family "Eukaryotic large subunit ribosomal RNA", at positions 96 to 915 of the family's 3401-position model. Lineage: Eukaryota; Fungi; Ascomycota; Dipodascomycetes; Dipodascales; Dipodascaceae. The record is from RNAcentral.
AAGCGGCAAAAGCUCAAAUUUGAAAUCGGCCUCCAGGUCGAGUUGUAAUUUGUAGAUUGUAUUUUGAGAGCGGAUUAAAGUCUGUUGGAACACAGCGCCUUAGAGGGUGACAGCCCCGUAAAAUCUAUUCUCAUUGUAAGAUACUUUCGAAGAGUCGAGUUGUUUGGGAAUGCAGCUCUAAGUGGGAGGUAAAUUCCUUCUAAAGCUAAAUAUUGACGAGAGACCGAUAGCGAACAAGUACUGUGAAGGAAAGAUGAAAAGCACUUUGAAAAGAGAGUGAAAAAGUACGUGAAAUUGUUAAAAGGGAAGGGUAUUGAAUCAGACUUGGUGCUGUUGUUCAACUGUGUUUCGGCAUAGUGUACUCAGCAGUACUAGGCCAAGGUGGGGUGUUUGGGAGUGAAAAAGAAGUAGGAACGUAACUCUUCGGAGUGUUAUAGGCUACUUUCAUAGCUCCUUAGGCGCCUCAGGACUGCGCUUCGGCAAGGACCUUGGCAUAAUGAUUCUAUACCGCCCGUCUUGAAACACGGACCAAGGAGUCUAACGUCUAUGCGAGUGUUUGGGUGUAAAACCCGUACGCGUAAUGAAAGUGAACGUAGAUAGGAGCAGUAAUGCGCACUAUCGACCGAUCCUGAAGUUUUCAGAUGGAUUUGAGUAAGAGCAUAGCUGUUGGGACCCGAAAGAUGGUGAACUAUGCCUGAAUAGGGUGAAGCCAGAGGAAACUCUGGUGGAGGCUCGUAGCGGUUCUGACGUGCAAAUCGAUCGUCGAAUUUGGG